CAGUAGCCACGGUAAUACAGAGGGUGCGAGCGUUAAUCGGAUUUACUGGGCGUAAAGCGUGCGUAGGCGGCUUCUUAAGUCGGAUGUGAAAUCCCUGAGCUUAACUUAGGAAUUGCAUUCGAUACUGGGAAGCUAGAGUAUGGGAGAGGAUGGUAGAAUUCCAGGUGUAGCGGUGAAAUGCGUAGAGAUCUGGAGGAAUACCGAUGGCGAAGGCAGCCAUCUGGCCUAAUACUGACGCUGAGGUACGAAAGCAUGGGGAGCAAACAGGAUUAUAUACCCCGGUAGUCCCUGUCUCUUAUAC
This 301-nucleotide ribosomal RNA is filed under the name uncultured bacterium. RNAcentral describes it as "partial 16S ribosomal RNA". It matches the Rfam family "Bacterial small subunit ribosomal RNA", at positions 509 to 807 of the family's 1533-position model. The record is from RNAcentral.